GAUGAAUUUACAUAUUGGGCAACAGACUGUGGCAAUUAUGCAGGGGCACUUAUGUACUUCUGCUCAUUCUAUGUCAUCAUCGCCUACAUCAUGCUGAAUCUACUUGUAGGUAAGAGAUGUUCAUGGAAUUAUUUUUCCAUCUCUUCAAACUCAGGUACUUGGAUAAUUAUGUACAAUUUUCGAGUAAUUAUCCUGGAUUGCUUGGGGCGGGUGUUUCAUGGCAUUAAUUAUAAAUUGUUGCCUCUCAACCCAGGAGCUGAAAAGACCUUUGAAAGGCAUGGAAAUGGCAGUUGAUUGCAGUUUAAAGAAUUGUCCUAUUUAUUAUGCUCAUUAAUUCCCAAAGAGCUCUUCCCAUGG
Molecule: long non-coding RNA, 357 nt
Filed under: Rattus norvegicus (Norway rat)
Lineage: Eukaryota; Metazoa; Chordata; Mammalia; Rodentia; Muridae
Description: long non-coding RNA NONRATT011221
Source: RNAcentral